Molecule: non-coding RNA, 112 nt
Organism: Acanthosepion pharaonis
Lineage: Eukaryota; Metazoa; Mollusca; Cephalopoda; Sepiida; Sepiidae
Source: the annotation of a GenBank genome assembly
UACGGCUACAUCUUGUUGAAAAACCGAUUUCCGUACGAUCAGCUAAGUUAAGCAACGUCUAGCUUGGGCAGUACCGAGAUUCGUGAGGGCUUGGGAAUACCAUGUGCUGUAA